CAAGGCGCUCACAUUAAGAGCACAAGCCAGAGUCGAGUUUGGAAAGCACAGGGUUUCUUAACCUCCACAUUGACAUUUGGACCUGGAUAAUUCUUCAACGGAGUUGGGGGUGGGAGGCUGUCGUAUACGUUACAGGAUGUACAGCAUAGCAGCAUCCCUGACGUUUACCAAAGGUCAGCUUUCUCUUCUAUGCCGCCCGGUGUGAAGAAUGCCUUACCCCGUGGAAUGCCUCGGGGUAUGAAGCCUGAUUCAGUUCCACUUUGUGUGUGAGUUACCAAUGAUAAAGUGACUGGAGGAGAGAAUGCUUACACCUUACAAGCUGGCCUCUGUUUACUCGUCUGCAAAAUGAAGAGGUUAAAUUGUGUUCCUCAAAGCUUUCCUAUCAGUACCCUAAAGCCUCUGUAGGAAGUGAGGGAGAAGGCAUCAGAAAUGGGGUGAUCCUGGACCCUCUCCCUAGCAACACUUAAACUGACACUGUUUCUACUUAUUGUAUGUGUUUGUGUCGACAUGUGAAGCAAAAAUGAAUUCUGCAAAAAACAAGUAAAAACUUCAUUAAAUGA
This is a long non-coding RNA of Artibeus jamaicensis (Jamaican fruit-eating bat), 560 nucleotides long. RefSeq lists it as uncharacterized. The transcript is spliced from 3 exons. NCBI's taxonomy places the organism in Eukaryota, Metazoa, Chordata, Mammalia, Chiroptera, Phyllostomidae. The record is from RefSeq and is a predicted model, not a curated record.